RNAcentral lists this ribosomal RNA (465 nucleotides) under Vreelandella stevensii. RNAcentral's name for it is "partial 16S ribosomal RNA". It matches the Rfam family "Bacterial small subunit ribosomal RNA", at positions 338 to 795 of the family's 1533-position model. The record is from RNAcentral. Lineage: Bacteria; Pseudomonadati; Pseudomonadota; Gammaproteobacteria; Oceanospirillales; Halomonadaceae.
CCUACGGGAGGCAGCAGUGGGGAAUAUUGGACAAUGGGGGGAACCCUGAUCCAGCCAUGCCGCGUGUGUGAAGAAGGCCCUCGGGUUGUAAAGCACUUUCAGUGAGGAAGAACGCCUGGUGGUUAAUACCCAUCAGGAAAGACAUCACUCACAGAAGAAGCACCGGCUAACUCCGUGCCAGCAGCCGCGGUAAUACGGAGGGUGCGAGCGUUAAUCGGAAUUACUGGGCGUAAAGCGCGCGUAGGUGGCUUGAUAAGCCGGUUGUGAAAGCCCCGGGCUCAACCUGGGAACGGCAUCCGGAACUGUCAAGCUAGAGUGCAGGAGAGGAAGGUAGAAUUCCCGGUGUAGCGGUGAAAUGCGUAGAGAUCGGGAGGAAUACCAGUGGCGAAGGCGGCCGUCUGGACUGACACUGACACUGAGGUGCGAAAGCGUGGGUAGCAAACAGGAUUAGAUACCCGGGUAGUC